AUAUCUACCUAAUGGAGGAAGGAUGGCCAGCCACACAGGAGGGUGAUUUUUACUAAGGAGGAGAAGGAGGCUGUGCUGACCGAGAUACAUGAUGGCCAUUUCGGAGUGAAGCGCAUGAUUGCCAAAAUCAACCUACACUUCUUCUGACGGGGAAUUGUCAAGGAGGUGGAUAGCUGGGCAAAUAAAAUAACCUUUUGUUUAUCACAGUCUAUUAUAUCUGAAAUUAUUAUGAUUUCAAUGAAUGUUCUGUCAGAGAACACACAAUUUUUGAGAGGGAAGUUUGAGAGGGCGAAGACUGGCGCUGGAGGUGAAGCCCAUCAAGCAUGUUAUAAGUUAUAUUCUGUCACCAAUAGUUUUUUUUUAAAGUUUUUUUUAACAAUUUGUCUUUGUUUUCCAUGGCACAUAAUUAGACAUAUAUCAAUAUCUUACAUUGUCAGUAGAUAUCGCUCUCCUACCCUCUCCUCCGCGUUUGGUGAAUUGACCAACCAGACCCUCAACACUGCUUUGGGCAAGUCCCUUGAUUGGUACCAGAAAGGGUGGGAGAACAACCUGAAGGUAAUUCUCUUUGCACACAACAGCAGCAUCCAGGCCUCCACCGAGUACAGAUGGAAGCGACAGCUGUUGACUGAGGGAAACAAUGCAAUUGUACAAUUAUUGCAUAUACUGUAGUCUUUGUCAUUUGUGAUUGACUUGUUGUUUGUCUAUUGCUAUUUUUGAAUAACGUACUUUCAGAUCCCUGAAACCCCACCUGAUGUGGUGGAAGUUGUCGAACCAGAUCAGAACGCCUUCAAGGACCACCUUCAGGCACGGACUGAGAUGAAUGUGGAGGUUUUUGACAAAGUGAGACUGACCAUCGACACGGCGAAGGAGAAACAGAAGGAGAGCUAACGGAGCAGAAUCAAGAAAGGGAACAAGUGCUUCGACAUCCUGGAAAAUUACCUGGUUUGGAAGAAGGACGAAAGGAAGGCGAGACCUGGGAAUCCUCGCUGCUCUUUCGCUCCUAGCUGAGAUCACCAUCUGUUAAGUCUUCCUAGGUUUACCUCGGAGGAAGCCAAACAAUCUUCUCCAGUUGGAGCAGUUGGAUGGUCGACUACUCAAAGCCCUGACGCCCUACACUUCAGUGAAGCCCAAUAGACAAAGACCAUCGACUGUCCGAGCCCUCCAGGACGUAUCUCAUCCACCAGAACCAAUGAGUUCGGAUCAGUCUGAUUCUCUGUGCUCUGAGUCAGAGGGGGACCAGCUUGAGGACCUAGGGGGUUCUGCCCAACACCCAGACGUGGAUCCACCUGAUGGCCUCCAUUAACAACCACCCUCCAACUUUUCAUUACAUCAUCUACAACUACUGUUAUUGUCAUUAUCUGCUAAUCAUUUUUUUUUGCUCUAUCAUACUGGGCACAUAAUAUGUGAGAUACACAGAUGAACUAAAAACACGAGCACUUCAAACACUCAGAACAACGAGAGCAGCAGAGCCCCCCUUCCGAGACUGGCUGCCUGUUGAGAACAAGUGACAACUUCCCACCCACACAGCAACCACCUCCUCUAUAUUCCAGAAACCAGAAUUCACUAUUUUAGUCUAUGAUUGCCAUGUGAGUGUACAAAACAACUAUCAAAGUUUAUAUAUUCAAAUCUUAAAUAUUGCCAUGUUGGUUUUCACAGCUGUUUCACAAGGUGUUCAUUAUUGUAAGUUGUAAGGUAUCCUUUGAUGGUGUUUAUUUGUUCCACAUUAUUCAUUGUUGUAUCCUAGGACCUACAACAUAUAUAUUCAACCACAAGGGUGUACUAAUGAGCUAUGCGAGAUGAAUCAUAACAGUGGACUACUGAAAUUAUAUUAUAUCAGUGUAGAUAAGGGAAGGGCAGGUUAAAAUAAAAACAUGACAGCCAGACAAGCCAGUGUAUGAAUCAAACGGAUUUGCAUAUGAAUGGAUUAGAAAUUAGCCGACUUUGUGAUCUGUGAAGGUAAAUAACUUUAAUGAGUCAAGCAGAUUACACGUUUCCGAAACGUAGUAACAUUUAAAACAUGGAUUUCAUGUUGUAAUGUUAACAAGGUACCCAAAAGGAGUUCAUAGUAAUGUUUUCAUUGUAUUAGCUAAACAAAACUUGCUUAAACAGCGAAAUUGUUGCGGAAAUCACCCCUGUUUGCAUAGCUAUGAUGAAAAGAACGUAAUUUAUGUUGUAAUGAACUCCAAAAUUCUAAUCAUUAUGUCAUCACACCGUUGCUAUAUCAAUGAACGCAAAUAGUUCAUCAAAUCCCAUUGUGACGCAGAGAGGGACACUUUUUGGCAUGACUGGCCCGGUUUCUUCCCUGGGCGGAGUACGCCCAGAACUCGCUUCGUCACUCCCCCACCGGGCUGUCUCCCUUCCAGUGUGUCCUGGGGUACAAGCAGGCCCUGCCCUGGCCUUGUGGACCCCGAUCCAGACCGAAGCCCCUGCGGUGGACGAGUGGUUCUGGCAGAGGAAGUUUGGAACGCUGCCGAUGUGAGGCACCAACGUGCCGUCUGCCGCCAAAAGGAGCAAGCGGAUCGCCAACGCAGUGAGACUCCUGUGUUCCAUCCUGGUGAUCGGGUCUGGCUCUCCACCAGGAACCUCCCACUCCGCCUGCCCUGCCGGAAGCUGAGCCCCCAGUUUGUGGGUCCAUUCAAAGUCCUCCGGCGGGUCAAUGAGGUAACAUACCAAUUACAGCUUCCCACUAACUACUGGAUCUCACCCUCUUUUCACAUUUCCCUCCGCAGGCUGGUAGUUUCUGGUCCCCUGGCUGAUGCCGAACCUCAUGACACCCCUCCACCUCCCCUGGACAUCUAGGGAAGCUCCGCCUAUGCUGUCAGAUCCCUCCUGGACUCCCGACGUUGUGGGUGUCGGCUCCAGUACCUGGUGGACUGGGAGGGGUAUGGUCCAGAGGAGCGGUGUUGGGUUCCGGUGGACGACAUUCUAGAUCCCAGCAUCAUCUGGGAUUUCCACCUUCGCCGACCGGACCGGCACGCUCCUCGCCCUCAGGGCGGUUCCCCUGGCCGGCGUCGUCCUGUGGCUGGAGCCACACGCCGGGGGGAGGGGGUACUAUCACGUCUUCUCCCGCUCCGGUGCUCGACGUCACCGGUCCACUAACCACUGGUCCUGGCAACCCAUCAUUAUGCACACCUGGCAACCAUCAUUACGCACACCUGCGCCCUGUCAUGAGGCAAACAUGGACUUCAUCACACGGUGAUUACUUCCCCUUUAUCUAGCACUCUGUUGUAUCAUCCAUUACGUAGUAUUGUUUCCUGUUUUUAUGUUUAGAUGCUACUCCUGUUUUUGUAUUCACUCCAUGUUCGUUCCUAUUGAAUUCACCAACUCCACCUGGUUCCUGACUCCCUGCGCCUCCAUUACAAUCUGAUUGUUAAACAAAUCACUUCAAAAAGUAGACUACCUGUG
Salvelinus sp. IW2-2015 is the source of this 3405-nucleotide non-coding RNA. Lineage: Eukaryota; Metazoa; Chordata; Actinopteri; Salmoniformes; Salmonidae. The record is from RefSeq and is a predicted model, not a curated record.